This 107-nucleotide small nucleolar RNA is filed under the name Gossypium hirsutum (cotton). RNAcentral describes it as "Plant small nucleolar RNA R71". It matches the Rfam family "Plant small nucleolar RNA R71". Rfam says of the family: R71 is a member of the C/D box family of snoRNAs containing the C (UGAUGA) and D (CUGA) box motifs. Multiple nearly identical copies of this snoRNA have been identified in Arabidopsis, and it is thought to function as a 2'-O-ribose methylation guide for 18S ribosomal RNA. Lineage: Eukaryota; Viridiplantae; Streptophyta; Magnoliopsida; Malvales; Malvaceae. The record is from Rfam by way of RNAcentral.
AAUCUAUGGUGAGGGCACAUUCUCAAUAGAUCUUUGUAUCUCUCCCAUGCAUCAUACAGUGUUUCUAAAUCCAUUUGCACAAAAGAAGAGAUAUCAUUCCAUAAUUU